UGACCACAUGUGUUUUUCUUUGAAACAAACUUGCUUUGGCGGUGGGCCCAGCCUGCCGCCAGAGGUCUAAACUUACAACCAAUUUUUUAUCAACUUGUCACACCAGAUUAUUACUUAAUAGUCAAAACUUUCAACAACGGAUCUCUUGGUUCUCGCAUCGAUGAAGAACGCAGCGAAAUGCGAUACGUAAUAUGAAUUGCAGAUAUUCGUGAAUCAUCGAAUCUUUGAACGCACAUUGCGCCCUCUGGUAUUCCGGAGGGCAUGCCUGUUUGAGCGUCGUUUCUCCCUCAAACCGCUGGGUUUGGUGUUGAGCAAUACGACUUGGGUUUGCUUGAAAGACGGUAGUGGUAAGGCGGGAUCGCUUUGACAAUGGCUUAGGUCUAACCAAAAACAUUGCUUGCGGCGGUAACGUCCACCACGUAUAUCUUCAAACUUUGACCUCAAAUCAGGUAGGACUACCCGCUGAACUUAAGCAUAUCAAUAAGCGGGAGGAAAAAAGA
This 500-nucleotide ribosomal RNA is filed under the name Candida albicans. Its description in RNAcentral is "eukaryotic LSU rRNA". The stretch from base 126 to 279 matches the Rfam family "5.8S ribosomal RNA". The record is from RNAcentral. Lineage: Eukaryota; Fungi; Ascomycota; Pichiomycetes; Serinales; Debaryomycetaceae.